Long non-coding RNA from Choloepus didactylus (southern two-toed sloth), 774 nucleotides. RefSeq lists it as uncharacterized. The record is from RefSeq and is a predicted model, not a curated record. NCBI's taxonomy places the organism in Eukaryota, Metazoa, Chordata, Mammalia, Pilosa, Megalonychidae. The transcript has 4 exons.
GGAGGACGCGGCCGCCCACCGCUGCGCGGGCUCGCCGCGGACGGCCGCUUCCCGGGCCGGCGCCGAGGGAGAGCCGGCCCUGCUCCCCGCCUCGAGGGGCGCCCGCGAUACUUCAAGAGGAGGGAACAUUUUCUAAUUCGUUCUGUGAGGCCAGCAUUGCUCUGAUACCAAAGCAAGGGUCCGUUGUGAGCAUCAAUGAAUUGAGACACACACAAAAAGAUGUGGGACAGGACUCCCAGGAUGAGUGGGCCUUCCUGACGACGUGGGACGUGGAUUCUGGGAAUGAGCCUGAUCCUGGCCUCGAGGGACUGAGAAUGCCUUUUUGACCAAAUGGAGGAAAAGAAAGGCAACAAAAUAAGGUUUUACUGGCUAAGAGAAUUCAGAUAGAGUCAGGAGGUUGUCCUGGAGGUUACUCCCAUGCAAGCUUCACCUAGAUUUGCCAAAUGACCACAAUAGGAUAAACCCAAGUCAUCAGCAGUCCCGAAAACCUUAAAGAAUACCAGAUCCCUUUCUGAGACUCAAUAAAAGUUUCACUCACUGUAUGGCAGCUAAGUCCCAAAACCCAGAGGCAAUAGCCUCUUCAAGAACAUCAACUAGAUGUGUCCCUUUUCCCUUUUCAACAUGAACAGGUUAGGGUAGUCCCUACCUAGACAUCCCCGAAGAUCAGGAAAGUGAUUAAACUAGAGGAAGGGGCAGCAAUAGACUAGAUGGAAUUUAACAAAGGAUUAUAAAUACGAAUCUUUAUAUAAUUUUCUUUUUCUUAGUUGCUAGGGU